AUUACUAAUGAUAUAUGAUUCUGUGAGAAGUUUGACUGUACAUAUUUUGAAAUACCGCAAUUUAUGUAAUUUUUGUCAAAAUUUGAACUUGCAAAAAAAAAAACACUUCGCAUGAUGGUUGAGCUACUGUUAUACUUAAGAAGUUCGAAAGGUAAAAGGAAAAUUUUGUGUAACUUCAAAGAUUAGUCACUGCUAACUAAAAACAAUUCUGUACAAAGUUUAAUUAUAAAUGUUUUGAAAAACCGUUAUAUAUAUACGAUUUGGAGUCCUAAAAGACAUGCUACAUUGUUAAAAUAGGUUAUUUCAAUUUUUAGAUAAUUACAUAAUUGAUGUACUAUGAGCUUCCAAUCU
Non-coding RNA from Cinara cedri, 351 nucleotides. The record is from the annotation of a GenBank genome assembly. NCBI's taxonomy places the organism in Eukaryota, Metazoa, Arthropoda, Insecta, Hemiptera, Aphididae.